RNAcentral lists this ribosomal RNA (969 nucleotides) under Apenthecia foliolata. RNAcentral's name for it is "partial 28S ribosomal RNA". It matches the Rfam family "Eukaryotic large subunit ribosomal RNA", at positions 42 to 805 of the family's 3401-position model. The record is from RNAcentral. Lineage: Eukaryota; Metazoa; Arthropoda; Insecta; Diptera; Drosophilidae.
AUUAAUUAGGGGAGGAAAAGAAACUAACAAGGAUUUUCUUAGUAGCGGCGAGCGAAAAGAAAUCAGUUCAGCACUAAGUCACUUUGUCUCUAUGGCAAAUGUGAGAUGCAGUGUAUGGAAUGUCUAAAUUCUAGUAUGAUAUAUUAAUGAUUUAAGUCCUUCUUAAAUGAGGCCACUUACCCAUAGAGGGUGCCAGGCCCGUAUAACAUUAAUGAUUACUAGAAGACAUUUCCAAAGAGUCGUGUUGCUUGAUAGUGCAGCACUAAGUGGGUGGUAAACUCCAUCUAAAACUAAAUAUAACCAUGAGACCGAUAGUAAACAAGUACCGUGAGGGAAAGUUGAAAAGAACUCUGAAUAGAGAGUUAAAUAGUACGUGAAACUGCUUAGAGGUUAAGCCCGAUGAACCUGAAUAUCCAUUAUGGAAAAUUCAUCAUUAGAUUUUGAAUACUUAAAAAAGUAUUUAUAAAAAUAGUGUGCAUUUUUUCCAUAUAAAGGACAUUGUAAUCUAUUAAUAUAUAAUGAGAUUUUAUCAAAAAGUCAUAAACUUAUAGUUUAUUUAAAUUAUUAUGCUUGCAUUUUAACAUAAAAUAAAUGUUUAUUGAUUUGAUAAAGUAAUGAUAGAUUUAUAAUUUAUACAGUGCGUUAAUUUUAUGGAAUUAUAUAAUGGCAUUUUAAUCAUAGAUUAUUAUGUUUAUUAUAUGCACUUGUAUGAUUAACAAUGCGAAAGAUUCAGGAUACCUUCGGGACCCGUCUUGAAACACGGACCAAGGAGUCUAACAUAUAUGCAAGUCAUUGGGAUAUAUUAUAAACCUAAUGGCAUAAUUAACUUGACUUUAUUAUGGGAUUAGUUGUGUAUAUUAUUUUUUAAUUAAAAUGAUUUCUUAACACAAUCCCGGGGCGCUCUAUAUAGUUAUGUAUAAUAAUAUUUAUAUUAUUUAUACCUCUAACUGGAACGUACCUUGAGCAUAU